GCGGGCGUAGCUCAGUUGGUAGAGCGAAGCCUUGCCAAGGCUUAGGUCGCGGGUUCAAGUCCCGUCGCCCGCUCCA
This 76-nucleotide transfer RNA is filed under the name Desulfurobacterium thermolithotrophum. RNAcentral describes it as "tRNA-Gly". It matches the Rfam family "tRNA". From Rfam's summary of the family: Transfer RNA (tRNA) molecules are approximately 80 nucleotides in length. Their secondary structure includes four short double-helical elements and three loops (D, anti-codon, and T loops). Further hydrogen bonds mediate the characteristic L-shaped molecular structure. tRNAs have two regions of fundamental functional importance: the anti-codon, which is responsible for specific mRNA codon recognition, and the 3' end, to which the tRNAs corresponding amino acid is attached (by aminoacyl-tRNA synthetases). tRNAs cope with the degeneracy of the genetic code in two manners: having more than one tRNA (with a specific anti-codon) for a particular amino acid; and 'wobble' base-pairing, i.e. permitting non-standard base-pairing at the 3rd anti-codon position. The record is from RNAcentral. Lineage: Bacteria; Pseudomonadati; Aquificota; Aquificia; Desulfurobacteriales; Desulfurobacteriaceae. RNAcentral also lists the same sequence under 2 other names.